Molecule: ribosomal RNA, 1143 nt
Filed under: Triticum aestivum (bread wheat)
Lineage: Eukaryota; Viridiplantae; Streptophyta; Magnoliopsida; Poales; Poaceae
Description: partial small subunit ribosomal RNA
Source: RNAcentral
AUGUCCUCGCCGCCACCGGAGCCGUGUUCUGGUUUCGGAACACCAAACUUCCCCUUUCAGGCCAACUCGCAAGGGACAAGUGGUGAGUCCAGGAUGCCAGGUUAUCAUUUCUUCAAGCAGGCUACCGGUGAAUUUGGCAAGGGCCAAUUUGGAAAAGUUUACAAGGCAUAUCUUCCAACCGGGGAAGUGAUCGCCGUGAAGCUGCUCCAUCAGAUGUCAAAGUUUGAUGACGAGCAAUUCUCACAUCAUUGUACACAACUUAUGAGCACCAACCAUAAGAAUCUUGUGAGACUAUUGGGCUAUUCCUACGGAGAACAUGAAGAAUCACAUCUGUACGAUGGGAGAGUAAUACGCGGUGUAUACAAACGCAGGUUAAUCGGCUUCGAGUAUGUACCCGGCGGAAGUCUUGCCAAUUUUCUUUCAGAACAACAUCUCGGAUGGAGUAUACGCUUCAAAAUAAUAAAGGAGAUCUAUGAGGGUUUACAAUACCUUCAGGAAGCUGGCAUUGUGCACUUUAAUCUCAACCCAGGUAAUAUAUUGCUAGACAAUGGAAAGAUACCAAAAAUCACAGAGUUUGGUUUAUAUGAGAUGUUCAAGGCAGUAAACGACGGAGCCACAGUUACUCGAGGGUGUACUUACAGAUUGAGAUAUAUGGCACCAGAAAUAUAUUGCUAUGGAAAAAUGUCAGAACGGUCUAACAUCUUUAGCUUGGGCGCUCUAAUUAAAAGUAUAAUGGCUGGAACUACAGACUCGAGCAUUCAUCACAUGGAUGGUCCUAAAUGUGUUGAGCAUGUACACAAAAGCUGGAGGAAAAGGCUACAAGAGAUAAGGAGGUAUCGCUCAUUUGAAGCAGAUUGCCAGCAAGUGAGCACUUGUAUCGGAAUCGCAGUAGCCUGCAUGCACAGAGACCCAGGUGAAAGGCCACUGAUGAAGGAUAUUGUUCGUAAACUAUAUGAAGUAGAAACUAGGGAAGAUUACCUGUCGUCGCGGGUAGAACAGGCUGUUCAUGAUUAUGAAGUCAGGAGAAUAUCAUUCCAAGAGAUGGAACACGUCACGAGUAAUUUCUCUCAAAAACUUGGUCAUGAUGGCUUAGGUGCUGUUUAUAAGCAGUUGAGCAGGGAAAGCUUGAAGAUGGGGAAGUGA